This 398-nucleotide ribosomal RNA is filed under the name uncultured bacterium. Its description in RNAcentral is "bacterial SSU rRNA". It matches the Rfam family "Bacterial small subunit ribosomal RNA", at positions 28 to 429 of the family's 1533-position model. The record is from RNAcentral.
GACGAACGCUGGCGGCGUGCUUAACACAUGCAAGUCGAGCGGUAAGGCCCUUUCGGGGGUACACGAGCGGCGAACGGGCGAGUAACACGUGGGUGACCUGCCCUCAGCUCUGGGAUAAGCCUGGGAAACUGGGUCUAAUACUGGAUAUGACUCCACGGUGCAUGUCGUGGGGUGGAAAGCCUUGUGCGGCUGAGGAUGGGCCCGCGGCCUAUCAGCUUGUUGGUGGGGUGANGGCCUACCAAGGCGACGACGGGUAGCCGGCCUGAGAGGGCGACCGGCCACACUGGGACUGAGACACGGCCCAGACUCCUACGGGAGGCAGCAGUGGGGAAUCUUGCGCAAUGGGCGAAAGCCUGACGCAGCGACGCCGCGUGAGGGAUGACGGCCUCGGUUGUAAC